This is a non-coding RNA of Fundulus heteroclitus (mummichog), 72 nucleotides long. The record is from Ensembl. NCBI's taxonomy places the organism in Eukaryota, Metazoa, Chordata, Actinopteri, Cyprinodontiformes, Fundulidae.
AAGAAAGUGGCAGAAUGGUUAAUGCGGUUGGCUUGAAACCAAUUUACGGGGGUUCAAUUCCUUCCUUUCUCG